RNAcentral lists this long non-coding RNA (1150 nucleotides) under Mus musculus (house mouse). RNAcentral describes it as "long non-coding RNA chr15:25937539-25938689". The record is from RNAcentral. Lineage: Eukaryota; Metazoa; Chordata; Mammalia; Rodentia; Muridae.
ACCGGCAGGGAGCUGCUCAGAAGAUAAGGGCUGAGUUUCACGUGUGCUCUCAAGAAAGAGCUUCAUGCUUAUUUACAAUAGCCAGAAGCUGGAAAGAACCCAGAUGUCCCUCAACAGAGGAAUAGAAACAGAAAAUGUGGUAUAUUUACACAAUGGAGUACUAUUCAGCUAUUAAAAAGAAUGAAUUUAUGAAAUUCCUAGGCAAAUGGAUGGACCUGGAGGGCAUCGUCCUGAGUGAGGUAACUCAAUCACAAAAGAACUCACAUGAUAUGUACUCACUGAUAAGUGGAUAUUAGCCCAGAAACUUAGAAUACCCAAGAUAUAAGAUACAAUCUGCAAAACACAUGAAACUCAAGAAGAACGAAGACCAAAAUGUGGACACUUUGCCCCUUCUUAGAAUUGGGAACAAAACACCCAUGGAAGGAGUUACAGAGACAAAGUUUGGAGCUGAGAGGAAAGGAUGGGCCAUCUAGAGACUGCCAUACCCGGGGAUCCAUCCCAUAAUCAGCCUCACUAGCAAGAUUUUGCUGAAAGGACCCAGACAUAACUGUCUCUUGUGAGGCUAUGCCCGGGCCUAGCAAACACAAAAGUAGAUGCUCACAGUCAGUUAUUGCAUGGAUCACAGGGCCCCCAAUGGAGGAGCUAGAGAAAGCACCCAAGGAGCUAAAGGGGUCUGCAACCCUAUAGGUGGAACAACAAUAUGAACUAACCAGUAGCCCCCUAGAGCUCGUGUUUCUAGCUGCAUAUGUAUCAGAUGAUGGCCUAGUCAGCCAUCAGUGGAAAGAGAGGCCCAUUGGUCUUGCAAACUUUAUCUGCCUCAGUACAGGGGAACGCCAGGGCCAAGAAGUGGGAGUGGGGAGGGGAUUGGGGAGGGAGGGUAUGGGGGGACUUUUGGGAUAGAAUCGGAAAUGUAAAUGAAGAAAAUACCUAAUUUAAAAAAAAAAAGAAAGAGCUUCGUGGUCAGGGAAAGUUCAGACUGCAAAUGCAUAGGCUGGCAGUAUUUGGAGGGGAGGCCCCUGGAGAAGUACUUACAUGUGGACAGUUUAAUUAGGGUGGGGCCCUGUGGUAGCGUUAGUGACUUUAUAAAAAGAGAGAGAGAGACACACACAUAAACUAGUCCAUUAUCUCAUCUCGCCCUGUAAUGUUCUUU